This 427-nucleotide ribosomal RNA is filed under the name uncultured bacterium. RNAcentral describes it as "bacterial SSU rRNA". It matches the Rfam family "Bacterial small subunit ribosomal RNA", at positions 355 to 774 of the family's 1533-position model. The record is from RNAcentral.
UGGGGAAUUUUGGACAAUGGGGGCAACCCUGAUCCAGCCAUGCCGCGUGUGCGAAGAAGGCCUUCGGGUUGUAAAGCACUUUUGGCAGGGAAGAAACGGCGCCGGCUAAUAUCUGGCGUAACUGACGGUACCUGCAGAAUAAGCCCCGGCUAACUUCGUGCCAGCAGCCGCGGUAAUACGAAGGGGGCUAGCGUUGCUCGGAAUCACUGGGCGUAAAGGGUGCGUAGGCGGGUCUUUAAGUCAGGGGUGAAAUCCUGGAGCUCAACUCCAGAACUGCCUUUGAUACUGAGGAUCUUGAGUUCGGGAGAGGUGAGUGGAACUGCGAGUGUAGAGGUGAAAUUCGUAGAUAUUCGCAAGAACACCAGUGGCGAAGGCGGCUCACUGGCCCGAUACUGACGCUGAGGCACGAAAGCGUGGGGAGCAAACA